UCUCGUAGUUGGAUCUCGGCGGCUAGAGGGCGGUAUGCUUCGUAGCAUUACUGCUCUAUUAGCCGUAGUUUUGCUAGAGGUUCCUGGGUGCUCUUAAUCGAGUGUCUAGGGAUGCUAGCGGGUUUACUUUGAAAAAAUUAGAGUGCUCAAAGCAGGCUAUUACGCUUGAAUAUUCGUGCAUGGAAUAAUAGAAUAGGAAGUUGUUUCUAUUUUGUUGGUUUUCGGAAAUCGACUUAAUGAUUAAUAGGGACAGUCGGGGGCAUUUGUAUUCAAACGACAGAGGUGAAAUUCUUGGACCGUUUGAAGACAAGCUACUGCGAAAGCAUUUGCCAAGAAUGUUUUCAUUAAUCAAGAACGAAAGUUAGAGGUUCGAAGGCGAUUAGAUACCGCCCUAGUUCUAACCAUAAACGAUGCCAGCUAGCGAUCUGAGGACGUUUUUUUGUAGACUCCUCAGGAAGCUUCCGGGAAACCAAAGCGUGUGGGUUCCGGGGGAAGUAUGGUUGCAAAGCUGAAACUUAAAGGAAUUGACGGAAGGGCACCACCAGGAGUGGAGCCUGCGGCUUAAUUUGACUCAACACGGGAAAUCUCACCAGGCCCGGACACUGGAAGGAUUGACAGAUUGAGAGCUCUUUCUCGAUUCGGUGGGUGGUGGUGCAUGGCCGUUCUUAGUUGGUGGAG
RNAcentral lists this ribosomal RNA (678 nucleotides) under uncultured eukaryote. RNAcentral's name for it is "SSU rRNA". It matches the Rfam family "Eukaryotic small subunit ribosomal RNA", at positions 626 to 1306 of the family's 1831-position model. The record is from RNAcentral.